UGGGGAAUAUUGCACAAUGGGCGAAAGCCUGAUGCAGCAACGCCGCGUGAGUGAUGAAGGCCUUCGGGUUGUAAAGCUCUGUCUUUUGGGACGAUAAUGACGGUACCAAAGGAGGAAGCCACGGCUAACUACGUGCCAGCAGCCGCGGUAAUACGUAGGUGGCAAGCGUUGUCCGGAUUUACUGGGCGUAAAGGAUGCGUAGGCGGAUUUUUAAGUGAGAUGUGAAAACCCUAAGCUUAACUUGGGGACUGCAUUUCAUACUGGAAAUCUAGAGUGCGGGAGAGGAGAAUGGAAUUCCUAGUGUAGCGGUGAAAUGCGUAGAGAUUAGGAAGAACACCAGUGGCGAAGGCGAUUCUCUGGACCGUAACUGACGCUGAGGCAUGAAAGCGUGGGUAGCAAACAGGAUUAGAUACCCUGGUAGUCCACGCCGUAAACGAUGAGUACUAGGUGUAGGAGGUAUCGACCCCUUCUGUGCCGCAGUUAACACAAUAAGUACUCCGCCUGGGAAGUACGAUCGCAAGAUUAAAAACUUAAAUGAAUUGACGGGGUCAUAGCUG
RNAcentral lists this ribosomal RNA (557 nucleotides) under uncultured bacterium. Its description in RNAcentral is "partial 16S ribosomal RNA". It matches the Rfam family "Bacterial small subunit ribosomal RNA", at positions 355 to 932 of the family's 1533-position model. The record is from RNAcentral.